This 497-nucleotide ribosomal RNA is filed under the name uncultured bacterium. RNAcentral's name for it is "partial 16S ribosomal RNA". It matches the Rfam family "Bacterial small subunit ribosomal RNA", at positions 28 to 507 of the family's 1533-position model. The record is from RNAcentral.
GAUGAACGCUGGCGGCGUGCCUAAUACAUGCAAGUCGAGCGAACAGACGAGGAGCUUGCUCCUCUGACGUUAGCGGCGGACGGGUGAGUAACACGUGGAUAACCUACCUAUCAGACUGGGAUAACUUCGGGAAACCGGAGCUAAUACCGGAUAAUAUAUUGAACCGCAUGGUUCAAUAGUGAAAGACGGUUUUGCUGUCACUUAUAGAUGGAUCCGCGCCGCAUUAGCUAGUUGGUAAGGUAACGGCUUACCAAGGCAACGAUGCGUAGCCGACCUGAGAGGGUGAUCGGCCACACUGGAACGGAGACACGGUCCAGACUCCUACGGGAGGCAGCAGUAGGGAAUCUGCCGCAAUGGGCGAAAGCCUGACGGAGCAACGCCGCGUGAGUGAUGAAGGUCUUCGGAUCGUAAAACUCUGUUAUUAGGGAAGAACAAAUGUGUAAGUAACUAUGCACGUCUUGACGGUACCUAAUCAGAAAGCCACGGCUAACUACGUG